CAUUUGGUCCUGAGAUGCAUUCUUGGGUGGCUUUUACUUGUUUUUUAGAUGCAUGGUUUCUACUUAACUUUUGUUUUCCUCAAAAAAGUGGUUGACUGGUUGUGUUCUCAUGGGAUGAUUUGCUAAAAUGCUAGACUAUAUUUGCUGAACAUUUGGCCCUGCGAUGCAUUAUUCUUAGGUGGCUUCUACUUCUUUUUUAGAUCUUAUGGAUUCUGUUCAACUUGUGACAUCCCUAAAAGUGGUUGACUGGUUGUAUCACUCAUGGGGUGAUUUGUUGAACCAUAAUCAAUCCUUUUUUCUUUUUUUGGGAUAAGCAAACAGAACAUCUAUUAAUAAAUGGCUGCCAAGAAAAGCGGGUGCAACCCAUGUUUACAGGCAGUGUACACA
RNAcentral lists this long non-coding RNA (387 nucleotides) under Vitis vinifera (wine grape). RNAcentral's name for it is "long non-coding RNA (VVIN_LNC000101)". The record is from RNAcentral. Lineage: Eukaryota; Viridiplantae; Streptophyta; Magnoliopsida; Vitales; Vitaceae.